UCCUGCUUUCAGUUGCUACCGGGUCAUGCCGAGCACUCUGAAAGGACUGCCCAGGAUAACGGGGAGGAAGGUGGGGAUGACGUCAAGUCAGCAUGGCCUUUAUGCCUGGCCCUCU
This 115-nucleotide ribosomal RNA is filed under the name uncultured Nitrospira sp. RNAcentral describes it as "partial 16S ribosomal RNA". It matches the Rfam family "Bacterial small subunit ribosomal RNA", at positions 1103 to 1211 of the family's 1533-position model. The record is from RNAcentral. Lineage: Bacteria; Pseudomonadati; Nitrospirota; Nitrospiria; Nitrospirales; Nitrospiraceae.